GAUGAAGAACGCAGUGAAAUGCGAUACUUGGUGUGAAUUGCAGAAUCCCGUGAACCAUCGAGUCUUUGAACGCAAGUUGCGCCCGAAGCCAUCAGGUUGAGGGCACGUCUGCCUGGGCGUCACAUAUCGUUGCCCAAUGCCUAUUGCAGUGCAAUAGGAAUUUCUAGGGCGAAUGAUGGCUUCCCGUGAGCGUUGUUGCCUCGCGGUUGGUUGAAAAUCGAGUCCUUGGUAGGGUGUGCCAUGGUAGAUGGUGGUCGAGUUAGAACGAUACCGAUCAUGUGCAUGCUCCCCAAAAUAUGGCCUCUAUGACCCACACGCGUCUUUUGACGCUCAUGACGAGACCUCAUGUCAGGCGGGGCUACCCGCUGAAUUUAAGCAUAUCAAUAAGCGGAGGA
RNAcentral lists this unclassified non-coding RNA (395 nucleotides) under soil metagenome. RNAcentral's name for it is "partial contains 5.8S ribosomal RNA, internal transcribed spacer 2, and large subunit ribosomal RNA". The stretch from base 1 to 122 matches the Rfam family "5.8S ribosomal RNA", at positions 35 to 154 of the family's 154-position model. The record is from RNAcentral.